UUACUUACCUGGAUGGGGUCGAUGGAUGAUCAUGAAGGUCCAUGGCCUAAGAUUGUGACCUCCAUUGCACUUAGGAGGGGUGCUUUUCUAAGAUCUACUCAAGUGUUGGAGUCUACAUUAUAAUUUGUUGGGGGCCUGCAUUCAUGCGGCCUAUUC
Small nuclear RNA from Trifolium pratense (red clover), 156 nucleotides. RefSeq annotates it as U1 spliceosomal RNA. NCBI's taxonomy places the organism in Eukaryota, Viridiplantae, Streptophyta, Magnoliopsida, Fabales, Fabaceae. The record is from RefSeq and is a predicted model, not a curated record. The transcript has a single exon.